This 502-nucleotide ribosomal RNA is filed under the name uncultured bacterium. Its description in RNAcentral is "bacterial SSU rRNA". It matches the Rfam family "Bacterial small subunit ribosomal RNA", at positions 30 to 504 of the family's 1533-position model. The record is from RNAcentral.
UGAACGCUGGCGGCGUGCUUAACACAUGCAAGUCGAACGAGAAAGGAUCUGCUUGCAGAUCUGAGUAGAGUGGCGCACGGGUGAGUAACGCGUGGAUAAUCUACCUUUGAAUUUGGGAUAACAUUGCGAAAGCGGUGCUAAUACCGGAUGAAGUUAUAGAUUUUUCGGGAUUAAUAAUGAAAGAUAGCCUCUGCUUGCAAGCUAUUGUUUGAAGAUGAGUCCGCGUACCAUUAGCUAGUUGGUAGGGUAAGAGCCUACCAAGGCAUCGAUGGUUAGCUGGUCUGAGAGGAUGAUCAGCCACACUGGAACUGGAACACGGUCCAGACUCCUACGGGAGGCAGCAGUGAGGAAUUUUGCGCAAUGGGCGAAAGCCUGACGCAGCAACGCCGCGUGAGUGAUGAAGGCUUUUGGGUCGUAAAGCUCUGUCAAUGGGAAAGAAAGUAUAUAGUAUUAAUAGUAUUAUGUAUUGACGGUACCCAUGAAGGAAGCACCGGCUAACUCC